Non-coding RNA from Camellia sinensis, 4810 nucleotides. The record is from RefSeq and is a predicted model, not a curated record. NCBI's taxonomy places the organism in Eukaryota, Viridiplantae, Streptophyta, Magnoliopsida, Ericales, Theaceae.
CCACCGCAAUACGAAUAGGUUCUUUAUCCUUCUCCCUUCUCUGUUUCUCUCUCUCUCGCUCUCAUUCUCGCUCACUCUCUGUCUGUCUUUCUCGCUCUCUAUCUCUAUGUCUUUGUUUCUAUCUCUCUCUCUCUCUUUCUCUCCCUCUCCCUUCUUUUGUUUCCCUCAUUCUUACUCUUGCUCUAGGGUUUUAUAUGAUUUACCAAGUCAAAUUUCAUGUUGAUUUCUAAAAUGAGUUUUGUUUAAGUGGUUUAAUUUCUAGAGUUUUAUGGGUUUGAUGUGGUAAAUAUGUUUGAUUUAAGUGGUUUGAUACAUUUUCCCCUCUUUUCCUUUCUCUCUCAUUAGUCUCAAAGCCCUAAAUAUUUUUGCUCUUGGAAUGUCUGAAUUAUUUGAGGUUUGCUGCAUCAUAGUGAUACCAAAUGUUACUCUCACUUCACUGCUCUGCUUUGCUAUUCAAUCAAUCAAUUUGUCUCAAAUUUUUAUUCAGUACUAUUAAUUAAUUUUUUUCAUUGGUUGACCUCUAUAUCUAUCUCGAUUUUCUAUUUCUCCUUCUUUUUCCUACCAAGGGCCAAAAAGUUUAAUUGGGUUUCAGAAAAAAUGGGUGGUGUUUGAUUGACAAAAGGAUGUUGCUGAAGUUCUUUUGACCUGGUUUGGUUUUAAAAACCCUCUAAUUUUCUUUCUUUAAUAAUUAUUUGGGUCUUAUUCCAUAACAUUUUAGUUUGAUUUGUUUGGUUACUGGAAGUAAUGGGGAAUGAAUACAAAUUGAAAUUUGGGUAAAAAUACCAUGAGUAGGAGAAUACAAAAAAUUGCAUUUCGGGUCAGAUAUGCUACCCCAUAGAUAACACAGUACACCAUACAAAUGGGUGGCACAAUGAUAAAGGAAAAAACAUCAUUUUCCAUUUGGAUGAAUAUUGCAGGAAAAAGUUCAGAAAUUCAUAUAUCCACUUGGAGAGGGGGAAAAAAAAAACAGAAACUCCAGCCUUUAAUUUUCUUAAAUAAGUUAGAGAUUUCCAUCAGAAGACAAACCUCAAGCAAAAAUGUUAAGAGAACUUUUAAAAAGUAGAAAACACUCAGACCUGGUGCAACAGAUUCUUAUGUGUAAGCAUAACACCUUUUGGAUUGCCAGUAGUUCCGCUAGUGUAUACAAGUGUAGCAACAUCAUCAGAGCUGAUGUCUUCAUAAGUAUAGUGCUGCCCUGAAAUUAAAUUACAUAAUUUAAUAUAGCUAGUAAAAAAUAAGUUUGCAGAUAUAAACAUGCAAACAAUUAUCUCUGAAAGAAAUGUAAAAAUAUUAUGUUUCACUAAAUAAACCUUCAUAUGCAUUCAAUUAAUACAAGUUAAACUAUAACCAAAUUCAUCCCUCCAUUAUUUUGCCUUUAUAAAAAUUAAAACAAAUUAUUAGAAAAUAAAGAGUUCACAAGUAAUAACACAAGGAAGUGUUCUAUAGCAAAAGAAAAUUUUAAUUUAUUAAGCCUAUUGUAGAUUAACUUACUAGCAUCAUGAGACUCAAGCAAAAGCAUACGACUCUCACAUUCCAAAUCUAUGAUCUCCUUGUAAUUGUAAACAGACAAUCCCUCCAGCACUUUGCUAAUCGGGCUUGAUUUCUCCCCCCAAAGUAGUAUGACGAAUUUUGUAGCUACCAGGGAACAUAAUGUUUUUGCAAUCCGAUUGAACAAUUCAGGAUUGUCCACAACAAGUGCGACACUGCAGUUAUAUUAACAAGGAAAGGAACAUAGUAUGUAAUUCCAUGAAAAAUGUAUCUAGGAAGAGAAAGAUAAUUCACAUCAUUCAAAAAAUAAACUAAACAGAAGAAGAAUCAAUAUAUCUCCAGCAGUUUCACAUCACAAAUUCAUAAAAGAUCAGCACAUAAAGUGGACGUACUGCAUCUUUGUAUACUGCAUUCCAUCCACUCUAGUGUACUGUAAGCAGUAGUUGGAAAGGUCAUGCACUCUACAUGUGCAUUUUUUACAAAAUAAUGAAUAUUAUUCUUAAAGGUACAUUAGGUUGAUUUUUUGUUAGAAGCAUUAUUCUUCUUAAAACUGCUCUUGAUGCAUUGUCAUUACUCUUAAUGGUACAUUAGGUUGAAUUUUGAUUUUGUUUCUAUUUUUCAGUUUAGUAUUUUGGUUCCUAAAACCCAAUUUGACAGUAAGUUAUGGCAUGGUCAGUGUAUGCUAAGAAGUAUUUUCAAUUAUUCUAGUUGAUAUUGCCUGGCUACUAAAAACUUAAAAUGCUCAUUCAGUUCUAUGAAUCAAGGAUAUCUAGGCAUGUGUUAAUGGAUUUCAUGUCAAGUUGUUUUGUAAUGUGGGCACUAGGAAUCUAACAUUUAGUAACUUCAAGACUUGUGUUUUUCAAAAAAAAUAAUAAACUCUCUUCAGUGUUAAUAAGGCCUGUAAAGUGGUAUUAACAAAAUUUCUUGUACGAUUAAUUUUGUACUAAUCUGUCUUUGCUGCAGUAACCAAAUGUGUGAAGGAAUAAAACUGAAUAAUUUCCUUCUUUUUAUGUGUUUUUGUUGUUGUGUGUGGUUUAUUAAAAUGUUUUGUUUGUUGUUUAUUUUUUCCUCCAUGCAUCUAAGUUUCUCCAAAUUAAAAAAAAAAAAGGAAAAAAAGAAAAGGAAACAAUUGGAGCAGGAGUGAUGGUACCAAUACUAAUAUAGGGUAGAAAAGCCGUUACUAGAGGUAUUGGUUGUGUUGUUCACUCUCUGUGUAUCUACUUCUAUUAUCAUCAAAUAAGAUUUGGCUGAAAAUUAACUUGUUGGCUAAAGUUAUGUUAUGAAUAUGAUAAUUGUCGAAACUAGCAUUACAUCUCAGAAAGUGCUCUCUCUUUGUUUCUUUGUACUUCUCCUUCUUCUUUUAGUACUACAACACCUUAAGCUAGUCUUAAAUUUUGGAAUUUGAAGCACAAUAUUCUUGAUUUCUGACUUUCUAAUUUAUUUAAUGGUAAUUUACCAAUAGGUCCUUCUUUUAGGACUAAUUACCAAUAGGUUCUACUUUUGGGACUAAUUACCAAUAGGUUCUACUUUUGGGACUAAUACGAUUGAUUGGUAAGUGUCCCUUUAUUUAACUUCCACUAUUUUUCUUCAUUCUGCAUUUGGUCAAGGUUUUACAUGCAUAAUUCUAACGUCAAAAGAUGAAUGAUCUGUUUCAUAUCAUGCUCUUGGGGAACAUGAACAUUAUUUAAGAACUGCAAAUGAUUUUCUCCUGUCAACUUUGGUUUUAUGCUUCAUUUGUUAUGUGAUAACCCAACCCGUAUUAUGCUUAAUUAUACACAUGUUUAUGUGUUUAAUAUAAAUUUGCAAGUUAUGUAUAUGAAUUAUGUGAUUUUGAAUUUUAUAUUUGUUGAAUGUAGGAAAAUCUAUUGCAAUUAGAACUUUGAACUGGAAAUUGAAAGUCUUAGAGGCGUGAUAGACCAAAACCGACUUCAUAUUUGUGAUUAGCAUGAUUUUUAGAGUCUACGGUGAAAUUUCGUAAAAUUACAAUUUGUAAUUUUUAAUUAGCCUAUAUUAUACAUAUUUCUCUAGUUCUUGAGUUCAUCAUUUUUUUGGGGAGAGCUUUGCUAGAGGGUGAGUUAGAGAGAGAAGAAGAGGAGAAGUUAGAGAUUUGGUAGAGAUUCAAGGGGCAAACCCUAGAUUUGAGCUAAGGUAUGGAAAUUUACUUGGAAUUCUUGUAUAUAACUCAUCUAUUGCUUGAAAACAUAUAGAGAUUUGAAGAUUUGAAACCCUUUUGGGUUAGCGUUUUGGGUUGUGUGUUUAUUUGAGCUAAACUAUGAAAUUGGAACUUAAAUGUUUUGAUUUUGCAUGAUUGGAGUUCAAUCUUGUGAAUAAUGUAUGAAACAAACCUUAGAUAAUUCAUGAAAACAAGAUUUGUUGAAAGAUUGCUCAUGGAUCAUGUAUUUUGAAUUUUGAAUUUGUUUAUGUAAUGUAUGAAAUUGUGAAAAGAUGGGACCAUGAGAUUGUUGUUGAUGCAAGAUUGAUAUUUUUAAUGAGGGAUUACACUUGUAUCAUGUUUUUGAGUUGUUUUUACAUGAAUUUGGGCUUGGAAAUGAGUUUCGGAAGUUCGCAUCUUUGAACCAUUUUCGGACUGUCUGAUUUUGCCCAAACCGCACGAGUGGCCACGGGCACCGCACGAGCAGAACGUGAAGAAAAAAAAGAAGUUUUCAUUCUGUUCCUUGGGCGCUUGAGCGGCCGAUUUUUCCGCUCGACCGGAUUUGGGCCGCACGAGCGGUGAAGACUUCCGCACGUGUAGAACCCCUGUUUCAGCCCAACUUCAAAAAGACACGGAUUACGACCCAUUGAGGACUAAUGAGUUUGGAACCAACAAAAAUAAUUGGUUAAGGAGCAAAGUCAUGAUUCGAGGAGCGAUCAACUAUUUCUGGAUACCACUGUGAUCAACAGCAUAGAGGACAUCCCUAGAGUCAGCUUCAGGAGCUAUUUUGUGACCCAAUCGAGUCAUGCCUCUGAAAUGGAGUUUGUCUUUAACUCACACCACACCUUGACCUUAUUUUGCUUUUGCCAUUAUGGUCUUGGGUUUGUAAAUAAUAUGUGUAAAUUUCUUGUGGCACUUAUAUUUUUGAUAGGCAUGUAUAUGUAUUAUUGUGUUAUGUGGUUAACUUUGUAAUUUUUCUCAUGAUUGGCACAACUCAAUGGACUUCUCUUUAUUAUAUGCUUCCGUUUAUGACCCCAUUAGCAUAAAUAUUCUGUAUGAUCGUUGAGGCCUUCGGUAAUUACGGAUUACUGGUCGGUUAUGACCCAAACUUUUAGAGGGCGGGUUCGGGUCAUGACAUAUUAUAAGAGAUUCUAUUACUUCUCAACAUGC